GGGGGUAGAGUGUAUGAGAAUUCUCUCUCAAUAGGAAGGGUGUGGUGCAUGGCCGUUCUUAGUUGGUGGAGGGAGUUGUAUGGUUAAUUCCGUUAACGAAGGAGACCGCCGCCUGCUAAAUAGUUUUAGUAAUGGUUGUUCAUUGGUAAGAGCUUCUUAGAGGGGCGUUCAUUUUACAAGAUGAAGGAAGAUGACGGCAAUAACAGGUCUGUGAUGCCCUUAGAUGUCCUGGGCCGCACGCGCGUUACACUGAUGCACUCAACGAGCAUAUAACCUUGGCCGAGAGGCCUGGGCAAUCU
RNAcentral lists this ribosomal RNA (299 nucleotides) under uncultured diatom. RNAcentral describes it as "partial 18S ribosomal RNA". It matches the Rfam family "Eukaryotic small subunit ribosomal RNA", at positions 1235 to 1552 of the family's 1831-position model. Lineage: Eukaryota; Bacillariophyta. The record is from RNAcentral.